RNAcentral lists this long non-coding RNA (5604 nucleotides) under Triticum aestivum (bread wheat). RNAcentral describes it as "long non-coding RNA (TAES_LNC022675)". Lineage: Eukaryota; Viridiplantae; Streptophyta; Magnoliopsida; Poales; Poaceae. The record is from RNAcentral.
GCUCGUACAGCAACCCAACGGUAACGCGUGGCUCCUACGGUGGGUCGACACUCGACAGAAAGUGCUUUAACAGAGGUGUGGUUAACGGGGCAUACAGGACAGGUUACAGACGCCGGGAGAGGUAAAAAUUCACACACUAUCUCACCGUGUGGUGAUGUGAUGUACAGACAGAGACAAGUACAGUAUUUUUCUUCUUUUUCCCUUUGCACAGACGAAAUGGAGGCUCGUACUGCUAAGCAAGUUUAAGAUUUAUCGGAAAAGGAGUUGAACUCUAGAGAUGUUCUCACUGAAAACUUGAUCGAGAAAGGAGCUUUGUUAUUGGAUCAAAAUACUCACGUCUCUUAAAUCAUGAUCAGAGUCAAGGCUAGCUUUGUACUGAUCUCAUUAUGCGAUAGCAAUGGAGAAGGAUAACGCAAAUCAUGCUUCACCUAUAUCGUUGUUGGGGGCUUAGUUCUCCAUGUUCUUUGGUUGUUUGUGGUACAAUCAGUGAGGAAACUCAAAUACCAUGCACGUUUGGCUGGUCAGAAUUGCGAUCUCCAUGUAUAGCUACAGAAUGUCGGACUGAGCUUCAGUGAGAAUGUCAGUGUGUUGGAAAUUGGAACUCUAACAAUAUGUUAAGUUUCUAGGAUGGCAUGAAUAUGCAUACUACUUGGUUGUUACUACUAGUAUUCAUUUUCCACUAUCGAAGCGAUAACGGAACAAGCGGCCGAAGGCCCAAGUCCUAAAACCUUGUCCGGGGCCUCUUCGAAACAUGCAGAAAACAAACAAACUAGAGCAAAAGAAGAUUACAAGACCGCAGAGCGAGUCUGGCAACUUGCACAAUCUGAAGUUAUCAUGCAUCAAUUCUGCAGAACCAAACAUCAGGACCAGUGAACCGACCUAUGGUUAGAUGGUUAGAAGGACUGUGGUAUCCCCAGACCUUUGUCGUGUCAUCAGUCAUCACCAGGUCAAUUUCCCAUAGAAGAAUACUCCAUCGGGUCUUUAGUGUGCGCCUCAAGCGUUAGCUGAACCCUUGAUGCUCUCACCCCCACAUUUAGUCGCUAGCAUUGGAUUUUAUUUAUUUCAUUUCUUCUGUUGGAUAAUUUCCCAGGGAUUAGAGCUAGGGAUCAAGUAAUUGAAAGUUGUGCGCAUGCAAAUAUUACAACAUUAAGGCUUUUUUUUAACAAGAUUGAGAGUUUCUGUAAAGUACAGUAGCUUUCUUGUAAAGACUAAAGACAUUAUCUGAUUUGCUGAGUUGCCUACUUUAGGGGCAAGUACACGAAUGGUACCACUAAUUCUGUUAGAGGAAAGUGUUGGGUCUUAAUUUUGAAGUAAAUAAAUGGUUAAAUAUUAGCACUAGUACAUGUUUAGGACUAACAGAAGCAUGUUUGCACAUUAGCAUUAUCUAACAUGGACUCAAAGCUAUUUUCCAUGGAAGACGCUACUUCCGUGUUAAGAACCCGUAGACCCCAUGUUUACACUGAUCUCAGGUCACAAAUUUGUACAGGUUUACACCGAUUUUUCAUAAUCUCUCGAUCAUAAUUUAGGUUGUCUGAUCGCUACUUGCUUAGCUUCAACUUAGCAUACCUUUUCUUGAACUACCCAUUUGUAAGUUGCUCUGCAUUUCAGGAGGUUCUGCAUCUCUCAGGGUGAUACCAAACUUGCAUCAAUAUGUCAUGGGUCCACUCCGUCAGGUAUUUAUCCAUUUAUUUUUAUUUUUUUCUGAGAACUCUCACCCAACUUAAUUACUGCAUCAAGAUUCAUAGGUACUAGGUUUGGGCCAUACGGAUUCCCCAACCAUAUAUGGCGACCUAUAUCUAAGUUACAUGCAAACUGAACGAGAUUGUGAGCUUCAAAAUUAAAGUUUCCAUGCAUGAACGGUGUCUAUCUGAUGGUAGAUAGUGUUUGUCCCAGAGAGCGGUGUUUCUGCUCCCGGGCUCAAAUGAGCCCGGGCAAAAUAAAAAAGAAUCGUUAAAAAUAGAUUUUUUUUAAAAAAAUCCCGAUUUUUUGGAAGCAAGAUGCUCAUGUGCGUGAUGUUCGUGCAAAAAUCGGUGAAGUUUGGACACUCGAGGAGCACGCGAUAAAAAAGAUAAAUUUCGGCUUUGUGAGUAAGGUUAUUGUUCACACACUGUUUGGACCGAUUUUCUCAGAUGUCCAAACGGGGUGAAAUUUUGCAUAGACAUUACGCAUGCGAACAUCUUCCAUACAAAAAAAUUUGAGAUUUUUUUGAAUUUAUGUAGUAUAUUUUUUCUGAAUUUACUGUAGCUCGGGAGCAAAUGAGCCCAAGCAUCGAGUUGGAUUUUCGUUUGUCCCAUGACUUUUUAGCAGUGGCGUGCUUUUUUUUUUUACUUUUCUUUUUGGGGAGGCAGAAUUGUUGGGGUGUGACUGUUCGUUUAUCCAGCUGAUAUAUGGGCUGGGCCAAAAUCUUAGGGUGGGGCGUGCCCCCUACACCCUGCUGAAUCCACCAGUGUUGCAAAUUCUUGUUUCCCCUAAAAAAAUGCAAAUUCUUGCUAUAUCCAAAAUUCAGUGAAACAAGCAUCGUGCUAUUGACAUGGAAAAAACCCCGUACUUGGUUUCCUAAAUUUACGUGUACACAUUUUUCUAUUGAAGAAUGUUCAAAUAUUGAAAGUGUACCGAACUACUCAAGAGAUAAAACCAUGGGCCUACUUGUUGCUUCAGUGUUUCUAUUUUAAGCUCGGUGCACUGUUAUUUAGACGAAAUGUUUCUGAACAGGUGUAUCAUGUUUGAACGUCCUGAGUAUGUGCUUCUGUAUUCUGCACUUUUUUGAAAUUUACAAGAAAAUAAGAAGUGUGCAAAGAUCAAAGAUCACUAGGUCGAUGAGGGUAUCUUGAUUUUGCAGUUUAACUAGGUAAGUUGUGUUACUUUCUUGUCAUUCGCUGCAUGCCCAUUUCAAAGGUAAAUGUAUAUUUGAGCCCAAUCAUGUUUGGAGUUCGUGUCAAACCAUCCCAAGCAUGUAAAGACAGUAUCCGCAUUCCCUUUUUGUUGUUGCUUCGGUUACUUAAAAAAACAGGAGGAUAACCCCCCGGCCUCCACAUCAGGAUGAUGCAUACUGGCAUAUAUUAUUACGAAUGCAAAAUUCAGCUGCCGAACAACAUUGGCCCGGAAAUAAUGCGCAAGAAAAUCCAAGGUUGCAUGCCUCGCGACAGUAACUCCACCAAAUAAUCACUAACUCUAUGUUACAAGACGACAUCAAGACGGAAAAUGCACAACUCCUAGACUGCGCCUUCGGUUACUUGCUAAUGAAAUCUGCUUAAAGGCUAAAAAACUGCUUUGGACCACUGUGGCACACAUCAUCUGGUCUUUUUUCUUAACUAUCUUUGCCUUUUGCUUUUACAUACUUGUGUGGGGAUCUAUAAAUCGGUAUCUCUUCUUUCUUUUGGAGAAGCAGUUGAGACGUUGGACUCAGACUAAUGUAUUGCAUGUUGUGCGUGCUUAAACCAAGGGUCCAAAAGCACUUUCGCCGGUUAUCUUAUCUGAUUGCUACUUGCUUACCAUGGACCACGAUGCACAUCACAUGAUAGCUUGGGAAGUCCUCUGAAUGUAGUGCAGAUACACACACCCAUCCACCGCAGAACGAGUAAGAAAGAAGGAUGAGCGAACCGAUGGAUGUUCUGCGUGCUGAAUGCUGAAUACUCGUUGCUGCACUUGGAGAACCCUCAUCGUAGGGGCAUGAGGAGCUAAGGAUUAGCUAGGUCGCUCUAACUUAAUUUUGAAGGGAACAAGUCUCAUCCAGUCGUCCUCUAUACCUAGAAAAAAAAAUUGGCUGGAUCCUUGGGUCGGAGUCAGAGUCAGAUUUUCUAGGUCUACUUGACUAUUAUUAUUACUACCGGUCAAGCAAUGCCCAUAUUUUGGCAUUGACAUUACAUCGGUCAACCAUAUAUUGUCAACCUUUAACUUGUUCACAUUUGAUGGUUCCUCGCAGGCCUGUAGACCGAGACAUCGGCUAUUCGGGUUGACUUCCGGCUGUUACUGUGGCGGUUUCAGACUGACAUCGAUUGUUCCCUUUGUUCUUCCUGGUGUGUAUUUUUCAUGACUUGAAGUAUUGUUUGACUGCACCCGUAAGUCUCUGUUGCGUGCAGCGUUAAGCUCUUUGCCAGCAACCGCCGCGCUUGGUUUUUUCCUGUAUGUUCUGUCAUCAUGGGUGGCUUGGGCUGUUGGGACCUGCGCGGGAGUCUUCGUGUCUUCGUUGUUUUAUCUACACCCUUCUUGUUUUUUUGCAAGAAGUACCGAUCUAUCGUUAAUGAGUAAAAACAGUACAACAAUUUUGUGAAGUAAAAAUUACAACAAAGUCAUGGACCACAUUGCAACGACUAUAAACAUUGGAACGGAGUCGAAGCCAGAUAAAGGUUAUUAUACUUGACAGUCAAAAAAUCGUCGUGUUAAAGCCCUCGCGAAUGAGCUGUGCACCCCAAGGACCCGACAAGAUGGGCAAUCUCACAAAGCCACCGAGUACCGACAAUAGAGGAAAAGAGGCUAGGCUCGGGCAACGACAAGCUGGGUUUAGAGGGUAGUAUUCAGUUUCAGUGUUAGGCAUGUGGUCGGUUUCAGUGGCAGCUCAGUGCAAGAACUGACCCGUGGUAUUCCUGGCGAGCGUUCAGAUUCGACAGGGCGGUUGCUCCGCCAAGCAUCGUCAUUUGCUUCUGCUUUGACCCGCCCCGCCUGUGGUUUCGACAUCCGAACCCGGCGAAGUAAAUAUGCAAAGGUUCCGAAGACUCGACGACCGUCCAUCGAUCUAGCCUAAGCUUGGUCCAAUCUUCUAGAGGUACACAAAACGGUCUAUCCCCCUGAGCUGAAUCAAAACCAUGGAAUGGAAGCAGUCCUCACGUGCACAUCGAGGCCCGAUCCCGCAUCGGAAACGAAAAUGGGGGUUCCACCUUUUCUUCCGGCCGGAUUUAGGAGAUCCGGAGAGGACCAAAUGGGAACGUCUGAACCCCACAACACUGUAGACCGGGCUAGCUGCACGGGCCACGCGCUGGGAAAAACAAGCCCACCUCCGUCGCGUCGGCGCCGCGGGCUCCGACGCUCCGUCCUCCGACCACCUCCGUCCAGAUCGAAACCGACCGGGUCGGGCGGUGCGCGGCCGAAAUGUCACUUCUGCUCGGCAGGUGGUCGUGGCUGUGCUUUCUUUCUUCGGACGCGAGCUGCGCACGCCUCGCGGUUUUCUAGUCCCUGGAAACGCGACACAUUGACGGACGGGAUGGAUGGUAUGACAGCCGGCGGGUUGUUGCUCCUUUUUUGCUACUUUGACCGAGGGUCCGAAGCAAAGUGGCUAUUAUUCCCCGGGGUUAACUGCUCCGUGCGAACUUCAUAAAACCUUCUACUUUUAGUCCAAACCAGGGUAAGAUUCUAGGUCUCGUCUUGAGCUGUUACGUGCAGGUUUCCUACGGCAGGUGUAACGUUCUUGUAGUGUUUUUGUCAUCCGUGACAUCAUCGCCAACUAUGCGGUAGACUAACGAAAUUCUGGCUUAUUAGUCUUGCGUAAAAAAAUUCUUCAUCGACCAGUACUUCAUUGUACUGUAUCCAUAACAAAAGAUGCUUCCACAUCGAAUAUGGCCACGCCAUCAAAGGUGGCCAUAGGAGUCGCCUCAUGCAACCAAAAAAAAA